Molecule: transfer RNA, 76 nt
Filed under: Bacillota bacterium
Lineage: Bacteria; Bacillati; Bacillota
Also listed under: 2 other names
Description: tRNA-Val
Rfam family: tRNA
About the family: Transfer RNA (tRNA) molecules are approximately 80 nucleotides in length. Their secondary structure includes four short double-helical elements and three loops (D, anti-codon, and T loops).
Source: RNAcentral
GGGGAGUUAGCUCAGUCGGUAGAGCGCUUCGCUCACAUCGAAGAGGUCGCUGGUUCGAGUCCAGUACUGCCCACCA